This 497-nucleotide ribosomal RNA is filed under the name uncultured bacterium. Its description in RNAcentral is "partial 16S ribosomal RNA". It matches the Rfam family "Bacterial small subunit ribosomal RNA", at positions 28 to 507 of the family's 1533-position model. The record is from RNAcentral.
GAUGAACGCUGGCGGCGUGCCUAAUACACGUAAGUCUAUCGAACUUACUAGAAGCUUGCUUCUCUGUUGUUAGCUGCGGACGGGUGAUUAACACGUCGCUUACCUACCUAUAAGACUGCGAUAACUUCGGGAAACCGUAGCUUAUACCUGAUCAUAUUUUGAACCGCAUGGUUCUAAAGUUAAAGCCGCUCUUGCUGUCACUUAUACAUGUAUCCGCGCUGCAUUUUCUAGUUGGUAAGGUAACGUCUUACCAAGGCAACGAGGCAUAGCCGACCUGGGAGGGUGAUCGGCCCCCCUGGAAAGGAGACAAGGUACAGACUCCAACGGGAGGCAGCGGUAGGGAAUCGUGCGAAGUGGGCGAAAACCUGACGGAGCAACGCCGCGUGAGGGAUGAAGGUCAUCGGAUCGUAAAACUCUGUUAGUAGGGAAGAACAUAUGUGUAAGUGACUGUGCACAUCUUGACGGUACCUAAUCAGAAAGCAACGGCUAACGAAGUG